RNAcentral lists this ribosomal RNA (520 nucleotides) under uncultured Bacteroidota bacterium. Its description in RNAcentral is "bacterial SSU rRNA". It matches the Rfam family "Bacterial small subunit ribosomal RNA", at positions 1 to 507 of the family's 1533-position model. Lineage: Bacteria; Pseudomonadati; Bacteroidota. The record is from RNAcentral.
AGAGGUUUUGAUUCCUGGCUCAGGAUGAACGCUAGCGGCAGGCUUAACACAUGCAAGUCGAGGGGGCGAUCGGGAGGGGAAGGCUUUGCUUUUCCUUUGCCGGCGGACCGGCGCACGGGUGAGUAACACGUAUGCAACCUGCCCUCUUCAGGGGGACAACCUUCCGAAAGGGAGGCUAAUCCCGCGUAUAUCGGUUUCGGGCAUCGAGAUCGAGGAAAGAUUCAUCGGAAGAGGAUGGGCAUGCGGCGCAUUAGCUUGACGGCGGGGUAACGGGCCCACCGUGGCGACGAUGCGUAGGGGUUCUGAGAGGAAGGUCCCCCACACUGGUACUGAGACACGGACCAGACUCCUACGGGAGGCAGCAGUGAGGAAUAUUGGUCAAUGGGAGAGAUCCUGAACCAGCCGAGCCGCGUGAGGGAAGACGGCCCUAUGGGUUGUAAACCUCUUUUGUCGGAGAACAAAGCCCGGGACGUGUCCCGGACUGCGUGUAUCCGAAGAAAAAGCAUCGGCUAACUCCGUG